CGGGCAAUAGCUCAAUGGUAGAGCUCCCGCUUCGUAUGCGACGAGACCUGGGUUCGAUUCCCGGCUGCUUAC
This 72-nucleotide transfer RNA is filed under the name Toxocara canis (dog roundworm). It matches the Rfam family "tRNA". From Rfam's summary of the family: Transfer RNA (tRNA) molecules are approximately 80 nucleotides in length. Their secondary structure includes four short double-helical elements and three loops (D, anti-codon, and T loops). Lineage: Eukaryota; Metazoa; Nematoda; Chromadorea; Rhabditida; Toxocaridae. The record is from Rfam by way of RNAcentral.